CAUCUUUAAUGUGAAUCCAGUCCGAAGGGAGCAAACAUGUUUAGUUUGAAGGACAGCAAACAGGUUAGGGAAUAAAGUAACAUCGAUACAUCAUCACCUGAAGUGGAGAGGGAAAAUCACAACUGUUAUUGUGCGCUGCGUCACGAGUCAGAAAAAUUAUGUAUUAGUUUAAGUAUGCAUUUUGACCUAAUAUAUCUGUUGACCGUAUUCCAAUGUGCAAUGUUGAGGAGGCCGAGUAUAAAACACCAUUUUUCCCUAUGGAUGCAAUGUACGCCAGAUUUAACAGAGCUUGUUGAGAUUUAAGCAGAAUUCGCCUGUAUACAUAUACCAUAUUAAACAAAAACUUUAAUUAUCUGUUUAUUUUUUAAGUAACCUAGCCACAUCUAAAAUGGGAUAAAAACAACAACAAAUAAAUAGAUGGUAAUAUCUUCAUUAUACUAGCAUACAGUUUUUAACUUUGGAAAUCGUUGGAUAACUAGUUAAUUUGAUUUAAUUUAAUAGCAUUUCCAUAGUCAUUCAGAUUAUAAGAAUACAUUUGACUAAGAGAUUUGUAACAUCCAUUAAAAAUAGUGUAAUUUACUUUUUAAUUUCAGUUAAUUCAACUACUGGAUUCAACAGCUGAAGGCAGGCAAUCACAGAAGAGAGACUCUUCAAGAUUGACCCUCACAAAAAAGGCAGCGACACACAUGGUUGAUGCUCUAAAGGAGGACCUGAGGAAAAAAAAAGAACCUUAUCUUUACACAGCCCCACCACUUUAUGACUCCGACUCUGAUGUAACAGCCAUUGAUGAAGAAUCAUCUCCGCUGAAGGAACCUCUAAGAAAUCUUGACUCAGAAAGUGAGGAUGAUAUCUCAAAAAUACCCUAAGCUUGAUGAUGACAUUACCAGUGCAUUAAAAGAGUUCCCAGCCAUUGUGAAAACGUUAAAAGACAUAUUCGCAACUUUAAAUAAGCCUUCAGCCUCUUCUAUUCAAGUGCAA
Long non-coding RNA from Triplophysa dalaica, 978 nucleotides. RefSeq lists it as uncharacterized. The transcript has 4 exons. Lineage: Eukaryota; Metazoa; Chordata; Actinopteri; Cypriniformes; Nemacheilidae. The record is from RefSeq and is a predicted model, not a curated record.